This 72-nucleotide transfer RNA is filed under the name Dreissena polymorpha. RNAcentral describes it as "tRNA-Ile". It matches the Rfam family "tRNA". From Rfam's summary of the family: Transfer RNA (tRNA) molecules are approximately 80 nucleotides in length. Their secondary structure includes four short double-helical elements and three loops (D, anti-codon, and T loops). Lineage: Eukaryota; Metazoa; Mollusca; Bivalvia; Myida; Dreissenidae. The record is from RNAcentral.
GGCCAGUUAACUCAGUUUGUUAGAGUGUCGUGUAAAUGAUGCGGGACGUGGGUUCGAACCCCACACUGGCUA